This 461-nucleotide ribosomal RNA is filed under the name Shigella sonnei. RNAcentral describes it as "partial 23S ribosomal RNA". It matches the Rfam family "Bacterial large subunit ribosomal RNA", at positions 2211 to 2671 of the family's 2925-position model. The record is from RNAcentral. Lineage: Bacteria; Pseudomonadati; Pseudomonadota; Gammaproteobacteria; Enterobacterales; Enterobacteriaceae.
UGUUUGAUGUUCUAACGUGGACCCGUGAUCCGGGUUGCGGACAGUGUCUGGUGGGUAGUUUGACUGGGGCGGUCUCCUCCUAAAGAGUAACGGAGGAGCACGAAGGUUGGCUAAUCCUGGUCGGACAUCAGGAGGUUAGUGCAAUGGCAUAAGCCAGCUUGACUGCGAGCGUGACGGCGCGAGCAGGUGCGAAAGCAGGUCAUAGUGAUCCGGUGGUUCUGAAUGGAAGGGCCAUCGCUCAACGGAUAAAAGGUACUCCGGGGAUAACAGGCUGAUACCGCCCAAGAGUUCAUAUCGACGGCGGUGUUUGGCACCUCGAUGUCGGCUCAUCACAUCCUGGGGCUGAAGUAGGUCCCAAGGGUAUGGCUGUUCGCCAUUUAAAGUGGUACGCGAGCUGGGUUUAGAACGUCGUGAGACAGUUCGGUCCCUAUCUGCCGUGGGCGCUGGAGAACUGAGGGGGG